CCUACGGGGGGCUGCAGUGAGGAAUCUUCCGCAAUGGGCGCAAGCCUGACGGAGCGACGCCGCGUGUGGGAUGAAGCGCCUUCGGUGUGUAAACCACUGUCAGGAAAUAGAACCAAUGAUCAUUUCCAAAGGAAGAGACGGCUAACCCUGUGCCAGCAGCCGCGGUAAUACAGGGGUCUCGAGCGUUAAUCGGAAUUACUGGGCUUAAAGGGUGCGUAGGCUGGCCCGCAAGUGCUUUGUGAAAUCCCCUGGCUCAACCAGGGAACUGCUGGGCAUACUGCGGGUCUUGAGGAAGGUAGGGGUUGCCAGAACUGUAGGUGGAGCGGUGAAAUGCGUAGAUAUCUACAGGAAUGCCGAUGGUGAAGACGGGCAACUGGGCCUUUCCUGACGCUGAGGCACGAAAGCGUGGGGAGCAAACAGGAUUAGAUACCCCUGUAGUC
This 440-nucleotide ribosomal RNA is filed under the name uncultured bacterium. RNAcentral's name for it is "bacterial SSU rRNA". It matches the Rfam family "Bacterial small subunit ribosomal RNA", at positions 338 to 795 of the family's 1533-position model. The record is from RNAcentral.